RNAcentral lists this ribosomal RNA (497 nucleotides) under uncultured bacterium. Its description in RNAcentral is "partial 16S ribosomal RNA". It matches the Rfam family "Bacterial small subunit ribosomal RNA", at positions 28 to 507 of the family's 1533-position model. The record is from RNAcentral.
GAUGAACGCUGGCGGCGUGCCUAAUACAUGCAAGUCGAGCGAACAGACGAGGAGCUUGCUCCUCUGACGUUAGCAGCGGACGGGUGAGUAACACGUGGAUAACCUACCUAUAAGACUGGGAUAACUUCGGGAAACCGGAGCUAAUACCGGAUAAUAUAUUGAACCGCAUGGUUCAAUAGUGAAAGACGGUCUUGCUGUCACUUAUAGAUGGAUCCGCGCCGCAUUAGCUAGUUGGUAAGGUAACGGCUUACCAAGGCAACGAUGCGUAGCCGACCUGAGAGGGUGAUCGGCCACACUGGAACUGAGACACGGUCCAGACUCCUACGGGAGGCAGCAGUAGGGAAUCUUCCGCAAUGGGCGAAAGCCUGACGGAGCAACGCCGCGUGAGUGAUGAAGGUCUUCGGAUCGUAAAACUCUGUUAUUAGGGAAGAACAAAUGUGUAAGUAACUAUGCACGUCUUGACGGUACCUAAUCAGAAAGCCACGGCUAACUACGUG